AUUGAACGCUGGCGGAAUGCUUUACACAUGCAAGUCGAACGGCAGCACGGGGCAACCUGGUGGCGAGUGGCGAACGGGUGAGUAAUACAUCGGAACGUGCCCAAUCGUGGGGGAGUAACGUAAGCGAAAGUUAACGCUAAUAACCGCAUACGAUCUACGGAUGAAAGACGGGGGAGUCGCAAGACCUCGCGCGAAUGGAGCGGCCGAUGUCAGAUUAGGUAGUUGGUGGGGUAAAGGCUCACCAAGCCAACGAUCUGUAGCUGGUCUGAGAGGACGACCAGCCACACUGGAACUAGAGACACGGUCCAGACUCCUACGGGAGGCAGCAGUAGGGAAUUUUGGACAAUGGGCGCAAGCCUGAUCCAGCCAUUCCGCGUGCAGGAUGAAGGCCUUCGG
RNAcentral lists this ribosomal RNA (396 nucleotides) under uncultured bacterium. RNAcentral's name for it is "bacterial SSU rRNA". It matches the Rfam family "Bacterial small subunit ribosomal RNA", at positions 30 to 421 of the family's 1533-position model. The record is from RNAcentral.